Molecule: non-coding RNA, 46 nt
Organism: Picea glauca (white spruce)
Lineage: Eukaryota; Viridiplantae; Streptophyta; Pinopsida; Pinales; Pinaceae
Source: Rfam
GUAGAGGCCUUUCUAAAGGCCAACCAUGGAGGGAUGAAAAUAUUGG